CUGGGACGGAAGGAUUCGAACCUCCGCAUAGCGGGACCAAAACCCGUUGCCUUACCACUUGGCCACGCCCCA
Molecule: transfer RNA, 72 nt
Filed under: Gossypium laxum
Lineage: Eukaryota; Viridiplantae; Streptophyta; Magnoliopsida; Malvales; Malvaceae
Description: tRNA-Gln
Source: RNAcentral